UUGAACGCUGGCGGCAUGCCUUACACAUGCAAGUCGAACGGCAGCACGGGAGCAAUCCUGGUGGCGAGUGGGCGAACGGGUGAGUAAUAUAUCGGAACGUGCCCGGUCGUGGGGGAUAACGUAGCGAAAGCUACGCUAAUACCGCAUACGAUCUACGGAUGAAGCGGGGAUCGCAAGACCUCGCGCGAUUGGAGCGGCCGAUAUCAGAUUAGGUAGUUGGUGAGGUAAAGGCUCACCAAGCCGACGAUCUGUAGCUGGUCUGAGAGGACGACCAGCCACACUGGGACUGAGACACGGCCCAGACUCCUACGGGAGGCAGCAGUGGGGAAUUUUGGACAAUGGGCGCAAGCCUGAUCCAGCAAUGCCGCGUGCAGGAUGAAGGCCUUCGGGUUGUAAACUGCUUUUGUACGGAACGAAACGGUGAGCUCUAAUACAGUUUGCUAAUGACGGUACCGUAAGAAUAAGCACCGGCUAACUACGUG
Molecule: ribosomal RNA, 482 nt
Filed under: uncultured bacterium
Lineage: Bacteria
Description: bacterial SSU rRNA
Rfam family: Bacterial small subunit ribosomal RNA
Source: RNAcentral